RNAcentral lists this ribosomal RNA (1017 nucleotides) under Triticum aestivum (bread wheat). RNAcentral's name for it is "partial small subunit ribosomal RNA". The record is from RNAcentral. Lineage: Eukaryota; Viridiplantae; Streptophyta; Magnoliopsida; Poales; Poaceae.
AUGCCACCUUCCGUGCACGACACGGAAGGCCUGCCGUUCAUGAAGCAUGGUUGUGUCUUCAGUGCGCACUGCCGGAUGAACGACAUGCUGGGACACGCUAUCCCUGAUUUAUGCCGCUUCAGCUUGGAUGAGUCUCCAUCGUGUGGAACCGUACUAGAAAUCUGCGACAAUGAUUCCCGUUGCCCACCGCUAUGGAUCGUGCCAUCCAUGAAGAACACCUGGGACUGGAACCUGGAGGAGGACAUCAGACGCAAAUGCGCCGGCCUUCAUGAUUCCAGGACCUGGAAUCAUACCAACCGAUGGUACCAUAUAACUGGAAUUAACCCAUGCAAGUCGAAGAAGGAUUGGCCGGUGCUACCGGCUGGCGUCAAGUUCGAUCCCACGGAUCAGGAGCUGAUCGAGCACCUUGAGGCCAAAGUGAGUGCUGACAGCGCGAGAUCUAACCCUCUCAUCGAUUUGUUCAUACCAUCCAUCGACAACGAGCACGACAUAUGCUACACCCAUCCUGAGAAACUUCCAGCUAAGACACCGAUCGGCCGUCUACUUGCACAAACAUAUUCCUUUGUUUACAACUCUAUUUUUCUUUUUAGAUGCAGACCUGGUAUCACACUGAGUGGCCUAAGCAAGCAUUUAUUCCAGCACAAUUCCAGGGCAUUCAAAAGGGGCACGUGGACGCGUUGCAAGAUACAGUCGGAGUGCGGCAUGCACGCGAUGUGGCACAACACCGGCAAUACCUUGCCGGUGAUGGUCAACGGCCGGCAGAUGGGCAGCAAAAAGGUUCUGGUGCUGCACACCAACAAGAACUUCGACCAGCAGAGGACCAACUGGGUGAUGCACCAGUACCACCUCGGGGACCUGGAGCAAGAGAACGAGCGGGAGCUGGUCCUUUGCAAGAUUUUCUACCAGACGAACACUAGGGCCAGGAGUAAAAAGAUUAUAAGUCGAGCCCAGCCCAUGAUGACAAUGGGGCACAAAGAUCCAGCAGGUAUCUACUGGCCUCUGGCCCUCCAGCGUUAG